RNAcentral lists this ribosomal RNA (464 nucleotides) under uncultured Klebsiella sp. Its description in RNAcentral is "bacterial SSU rRNA". It matches the Rfam family "Bacterial small subunit ribosomal RNA", at positions 339 to 795 of the family's 1533-position model. The record is from RNAcentral. Lineage: Bacteria; Pseudomonadati; Pseudomonadota; Gammaproteobacteria; Enterobacterales; Enterobacteriaceae.
CCUCGGGUGGCAGCAGUGGGGAAUAUUGCACAAUGGGCGCAAGCCUGAUGCAGCCAUGCCGCGUGUGUGAAGAAGGCCUUCGGGUUGUAAAGCACUUUCAGCGGGGAGGAAGGCGGUGAGGUUCAUAACCUCAUCGAUUGACGUUACCCGCAGAAGAAGCACCGGCUAACUCCGUGCCAGCAGCCGCGGUAAUACGGAGGGUGCAAGCGUUAAUCGGAAUUACUGGGCGUAAAGCGCACGCAGGCGGUCUGUCAAGUCGGAUGUGAAAUCCCCGGGCUCAACCUGGGAACUGCAUUCGAAACUGGCAGGCUAGAGUCUUGUAGAGGGGGGUAGAAUUCCAGGUGUAGCGGUGAAAUGCGUAGAGAUCUGGAGGAAUACCGGUGGCGAAGGCGGCCCCCUGGACAAAGACUGACGCUCAGGUGCGAAAGCGUGGGGAGCAAACAGGAGUAGAUACCCGAGUAGUC